GAUGAACGCUGGCGGCGUGCCUAAUACAUGCCAGUCGAGCGAACGGACGAGAAUCUUGCUUCUCUGAUGUUAGCGGCGGACGGGUGAGUAACACGUGGAUAACCUACCUAUAAGACUGGGAUAACUUCGGGAAACCGAUGCUAGUACCGGAUAAUAUUUUCAACCGCAGGGUUCAAAAGUUAAAGACGGUCUUGCUGGCACUUAUAGAUGUAUCCGCGCUGCAUUAGCUAGUUGGUAAGUUAACGGCUUACCAAGGCAACGAUGCCUAGCCGACCGGAUAGCGGGUACGGCCCCACUGGAACUGAGACGCGGUCCUGACUCCUACGGGAGGCCGAAGUAGCGACGGUUGCGAGAUGGGCGAAAGCCUGACGGAGCAGCGCCGCGUGGGUGCUGAAGGUCUGCGGAUCGUAAAACUCUGUUAGUGUGGAAGAACAUAUGUGGAAGUAACUGUGCAUAUCUUGACGGUACCUAAUCAGGAAGCCACGGCUAACUACGUG
Molecule: ribosomal RNA, 497 nt
Filed under: uncultured bacterium
Lineage: Bacteria
Description: partial 16S ribosomal RNA
Rfam family: Bacterial small subunit ribosomal RNA
Source: RNAcentral